CUCCCGGCCGNNANNGCGGCCCGCGGGAAUUCGAUUAGAGUUUGAUCCUGGCUCAGGAUGAACGCUGGCGGCGUGCUUAACACAUGCAAGUCGAACGGUGAAAGAGAGCUUGCUCUCUGGAUCAGUGGCGAACGGGUGAGUAACACGUGAGCAAUCUGCCCCUGACUCUGGGAUAAGCGCUGGAAACGGCGUCUAAUACCGGAUACGAGCUGCGAAGGCAUCUUCAGCAGCUGGAAAGAACUUCGGUCAGGGAUGAGCUCGCGGCCUAUCAGCUAGUUGGUGAGGUAAUGGCUCACCAAGGCGUCGACGGGUAGCCGGCCUGAGAGGGUGACCGGCCACACUGGGACUGAGACACGGCCCAGACUCCUACGGGAGGCAGCAGUGGGGAAUAUUGCACAAUGGGCGCAAGCCUGAUGCAGCAACGCCGCGUGAGGGACGACGGCCUUCGGGUUGUAAACCUCUUUUAGCAGGGAAGAAGCGAAAGUGACGGUACCUGCAGAAAAAGCACCGGCUAACUACGUGCCAGCAGCCGCGGUAAUACGUAGGGUGCAAGCGUUAUCCGGAAUUAUUGGGCGUAAAGAGCUCGUAGGCGGUUUGUCGCGUCUGCUGUGAAAACCCGAGGCUCAACCUCGGGCCUGCAGUGGGUACGGGCAGACUAGAGUGCGGUAGGGGAGAUUGGAAUUCCUGGUGUAGCGGUGGAAUGCGCAGAUAUCAGGAGGAACACCGAUGGCGAAGGCAGAUCUCUGGGCCGUAACUGACGCUGAGGAGCGAAAGGGUGGGGAGCAAACAGGCUUAGAUACNCUGGUAGUCCACCNCGUANACGUUGGGAACUAGUUGUGGGGUCCAUUCCACGGAUUCCGUGACGCAGCUAACGCAUUAAGUUCCCCGCCUGGGGAGUACGGCCGCAAGGCUAANACUCAAAGGAAUUGACGGGGACCCGCACAAGCGGCGGAGCAUGCGGAUUAAUUCGAUGCAACGCGAANAACCUUACCAAGGCUUGACAUAUACGANA
Molecule: ribosomal RNA, 1012 nt
Filed under: bacterium N03
Lineage: Bacteria
Description: bacterial SSU rRNA
Rfam family: Bacterial small subunit ribosomal RNA
Source: RNAcentral